RNAcentral lists this ribosomal RNA (253 nucleotides) under uncultured bacterium. RNAcentral describes it as "partial 16S ribosomal RNA". It matches the Rfam family "Bacterial small subunit ribosomal RNA", at positions 524 to 776 of the family's 1533-position model. The record is from RNAcentral.
UACGUAGGGUGCGAGCGUUAAUCGGAAUUACUGGGCGUAAAGCGUGCGCGGGCGGUCUCGUAAGACAGGUGUGAAAUCCCCGGGCUCAACCUGGGAACUGCGCUUGUGACUGCGAGGCUAGAGUGCGGAAGAGGGAGGUGGAAUUCCACGUGUAGCAGUGAAAUGCGUAGAGAUGUGGAGGAACACCGAUGGCGAAGGCAGCCUCCUGGGCCAGCACUGACGCUCAUGCACGAAAGCGUGGGGAGCAAACAGG